RNAcentral lists this transfer RNA (63 nucleotides) under Sambus femoralis. RNAcentral describes it as "tRNA-Arg". The record is from RNAcentral. Lineage: Eukaryota; Metazoa; Arthropoda; Insecta; Coleoptera; Buprestidae.
AAGUAUGAAGCAAAAUUUGCAAUUAGUUUCGACCUAAAAAUAGAUGAUAAUCAUCCCUACUUA